UACGUAGGGGGCAAGCGUUGUCCGGAUUUAUUGGGCGUAAAGAGCGUGUAGGCGGUUUGGUAGGUCCGCUGUGAAAACUCGAGGCUCAACCUCGAGACGCCGGUGGAAACCAUCAGACUAGAGUCCGGAAGAGGAGAGUGGAAUUCCUGGUGUAGCGGUGAAAUGCGCAGAUAUCAGGAAGAACACCCGUGGCGAAGGCGGCUCUCUGGGACGGUACUGACGCUGAGACGCGAAAGCGUGGGGAGCAAACAGG
This 253-nucleotide ribosomal RNA is filed under the name uncultured bacterium. Its description in RNAcentral is "partial 16S ribosomal RNA". It matches the Rfam family "Bacterial small subunit ribosomal RNA", at positions 524 to 776 of the family's 1533-position model. The record is from RNAcentral.